CUUGCAGAUUUGCUUGGUUAGCUGAUCAUGCUUUCUUCAGCAGACCUAUCUGCUUAAUGCAACAGCUCAAUAACGCAGCAUUAAUUAUAAUUAGCAAAUUGCUUGUACACCUACAGCUCUAUCAUAUUGUUGCUGUAGCCAGGGUUAGGAAAUUGUCUGAAGAAAAUAAAUUUGAAGCAACUCAAGCACAGGUAAAUAGCCUGUUAUUAUCCAUGAACCAUUGUCAUUAUGGUCAUUUCUGAAAAAUCAUGUGUUUCCCAUGGUUCAUUAAAUCUGUUUUACUGCCUGGAUAAAUGAGCUACUUUGAGGUGUCAGCAACAACCCCAAGCAGGAGGCUUUAUUCUGCUGAGAAAGAUGGCAAUCAGCAGCAAGAAAGGCAAUCCUGAAAACAUCUUAUACAAAAUUCAUGGGUUUAUUAAUUCAUAAUGUUAAAUGGUUUUGGCAGCUAACUAGUCACAGAAUUUCAUCAAAAUGUGCACUUAUAAACAAAGGGAAAGCAAUAGCUUUUCUUCAGCAACUUUGCUCUGAUACUUUUAGUCCUUCAGGUAAAAAAAAAGAAAAAGUAACAGUCUCAAUAUGGAAAUUUUCUAUUUCAGCAAACCAGAUUAUCAGAAAAUACCUUCAAAAUGGCCAGUGUGAGGCUUCCACCAAGAUUUAUCAACAAAUGAGGCAGAAAACACCCACAUUAUGGAACCAGAAAAAGUCUUCAAGAUUUUGCUGGAUUUGCAACGUGGCAAUUAUUCCCAGGGAAAUGAGCCCUCAGCCUUUGCCACAGAAUCCCAGCUUUUUUCUUUAUGCCUUUUAUAUGUUUCUGAAAGCAUCCUAA
Long non-coding RNA from Cyanistes caeruleus (blue tit), 826 nucleotides. The record is from Ensembl. NCBI's taxonomy places the organism in Eukaryota, Metazoa, Chordata, Aves, Passeriformes, Paridae.